ACAAAUUGCCACGUAUGCAUUAUAAAAAAAUUGUCAAAAAAAAAAAGUUGUUAAAGAGACUUUUUCUUGAAAAAAAACCUCAUUUUGUUACAUGAAAUGAAAUAGUGAAAUAUGUGGAUAAUUGUGAACAGGGGACAGCUAAGGGUAUGAAAAAAGAAGAGUUUAAUAAUGUGAUGAGGUGAAAGAAGACGGAAAAAAGAGUGAAUUUCUAGAAAAGAAAGAGAAGAAAAUAGAAAAGAAGACAGAAAAUGUAAAAAGGUGAAGGUGAUCCAUUUUUGGAAUACAUGCUUCAUGUGGCGUGGGCAUUGCAUGCAUCCUUGUCAUCGACCUCGGUGGGAAAGAGACUCCCAUUCCCAUUAACAAGAAGGUGGAUUUUGUUCAUGCAUUUCUCAUCAUCAUCAUCUUCCAACAAGUGCUUCUUCUCUGUGUGGCCAACAUUUUCAG
This 444-nucleotide long non-coding RNA is filed under the name Vigna radiata. Its description in RNAcentral is "long non-coding RNA (VRAD_LNC005964)". Lineage: Eukaryota; Viridiplantae; Streptophyta; Magnoliopsida; Fabales; Fabaceae. The record is from RNAcentral.